UCCUCCGUUAGGGUUAGGUCUCUCCUCUCCUCCGUUAGGGUUAGGUCUCUCCUCUCCUCCGUUAGGGUUAGGUCUCUCCUCUCCUCCGUUAGGGUUAGGUCUCUCCUCUCCUCCGUCAGGGUUAGGUCUCUCCUCUCCUCCGUUAGGGUUAGGUCUCUCCUCUCCUCCGUCAGGGUUAGGUCUCUCCUCUCCUCCGUCAGGGUUAGGUCUCUCCUCUCCUCCGUUAGGGUUAGGUCUCUCCUCUCCUCCGUC
This is a long non-coding RNA of Oncorhynchus keta (chum salmon), 252 nucleotides long. RefSeq lists it as uncharacterized. The record is from RefSeq and is a predicted model, not a curated record. NCBI's taxonomy places the organism in Eukaryota, Metazoa, Chordata, Actinopteri, Salmoniformes, Salmonidae. The transcript has 3 exons.